This 253-nucleotide ribosomal RNA is filed under the name uncultured bacterium. RNAcentral's name for it is "partial 16S ribosomal RNA". It matches the Rfam family "Bacterial small subunit ribosomal RNA", at positions 524 to 776 of the family's 1533-position model. The record is from RNAcentral.
UACAGAGGAUGCAAGCGUUAUCCGGAAUGAUUGGGCGUAAAGCGUCUGUAGGUGGCUUUUUAAGUCCGCCGUCAAAUCCCAGGGCUCAACUCUGGACAGGCGGUGGAAACUACCAAGCUGGAGUACGGUAGGGGCAGAGGGAAUUUCCGGUGGAGCGGUGAAAUGCGUAGAUAUCAGGAGGAACACCGGUGGCGAAGGCGGUUCUCUGGGCAUUACCUGACGCUGAGGAGCGAAAGUGUGGGGAGCGAACAGG